GACGAACGCUGGCGGCGUGCUUAACACAUGCAAGUCGAACGGAAAGGCCCUGCUUUUGUGGGGUGCUCGAGUGGCGAACGGGUGAGUAACACGUGAGUAACCUGCCCUUGACUUUGGGAUAAGUUCAGGAAACUGGGGCUAAUACCGGAUAGGAGCUCCUGCUGCAUGGUGGGGGUUGGAAAGUUUCGGCGGUUGGGGAUGGACUCGCGGCUUAUCAGCUUGUUGGUGGGGUAGUGGCUUACCAAGGCUUUGACGGGUAGCCGGCCUGAGAGGGUGACCGGCCACAUUGGGACUGAGAUACGGCCCAGACUCCUACGGGAGGCAGCAGUGGGGAAUAUUGCACAAUGGGCGGAAGCCUGAUGCAGCAACGCCGCGUGCGGGAUGGCGGCCUUCGGGUUGUAAACCGCUUUCGCCUGUGACGAAGCGUGAGUGACGGUAAUGGGUAAAGAAGCACCGGCUAACUACGUG
This 468-nucleotide ribosomal RNA is filed under the name uncultured bacterium. RNAcentral's name for it is "partial 16S ribosomal RNA". It matches the Rfam family "Bacterial small subunit ribosomal RNA", at positions 28 to 507 of the family's 1533-position model. The record is from RNAcentral.